GGGUUGUGAGGUUAAGCGACUAAGCGUACACGGUGGAUGCCUUGGCAGUCAGAGGCGAUGAAGGACGUGCUAAUCUGCGAUAAGCGUCGGUAAGGUGAUAUGAACCGUUAUAACCGGCGAUUUCCGAAUGGGGAAACCCAGUGUGUUUCGACACACUAUCAUUAACUGAAUCCAUAGGUUAAUGAGGCGAACCGGGGGAACUGAAACAUCUAAGUACCCCGAGGAAAAGAAAUCAACCGAGAUUCCCCCAGUAGCGGCGAGCGAACGGGGAGCAGCCCAGAGCCUGAAUCAGUGUGUGUGUUAGUGGAAGCGUCUGGAAAGGCGUGCGAUACAGGGUGACAGCCCCGUACACAAAAAUGCACAUGCUGUGAGCUCGAUGAGUAGGGCGGGACACGUGGUAUCCUGUCUGAAUAUGGGGGGACCAUCCUCCAAGGCUAAAUACUCCUGACUGACCGAUAGUGAACCAGUACCGUGAGGGAAAGGCGAAAAGAACCCCGGCGAGGGGAGUGAAAAAGAACCUGAAACCGUGUACGUACAAGCAGUGGGAGCACGCUUAGGCGUGUGACUGCGUACCUUUUGUAUAAUGGGUCAGCGACUUAUAUUCUGUAGCAAGGUUAACCGAAUAGGGGAGCCGAAGGGAAACCGAGUCUUAACUGGGCGUUAAGUUGCAGGGUAUAGACCCGAAACCCGGUGAUCUAGCCAUGGGCAGGUUGAAGGUUGGGUAACACUAACUGGAGGACCGAACCGACUAAUGUUGAAAAAUUAGCGGAUGACUUGUGGCUGGGGGUGAAAGGCCAAUCAAACCGGGAGAUAGCUGGUUCUCCCCGAAAGCUAUUUAGGUAGCGCCUCGUGAAUUCAUCUCCGGGGGUAGAGCACUGUUUCGGCAAGGGGGUCAUCCCGACUUACCAACCCGAUGCAAACUGCGAAUACCGGAGAAUGUUAUCACGGGAGACACACGGCGGGUGCUAACGUCCGUCGUGAAGAGGGAAACAACCCAGACCGCCAGCUAAGGUCCCAAAGUCAUGGUUAAGUGGGAAACGAUGUGGGAAGGCCCAGACAGCCAGGAUGUUGGCUUAGAAGCAGCCAUCAUUUAAAGAAAGCGUAAUAGCUCACUGGUCGAGUCGGCCUGCGCGGAAGAUGUAACGGGGCUAAACCAUGCACCGAAGCUGCGGCAGCGACGCUGAUGCGUUGUUGGGUAGGGGAGCGUUCUGUAAGCCUGCGAAGGUGUGCUGUGAGGCAUGCUGGAGGUAUCAGAAGUGCGAAUGCUGACAUAAGUAACGAUAAAGCGGGUGAAAA
RNAcentral lists this ribosomal RNA (1296 nucleotides) under Escherichia coli. RNAcentral's name for it is "partial 23S ribosomal RNA". It matches the Rfam family "Bacterial large subunit ribosomal RNA", at positions 1 to 1327 of the family's 2925-position model. The record is from RNAcentral. Lineage: Bacteria; Pseudomonadati; Pseudomonadota; Gammaproteobacteria; Enterobacterales; Enterobacteriaceae.